UGGGGAAUNNUCCGCAAUGGACGAAAGUCUGACGGAGCAACGCCGCGUGAGUGAUGACGGCCUUCGGGUUGUAAAGCUCUGUUAAUCGGGACGAAUGGUUCUUGUGCGAAUAGUGCGAGGAUUUGACGGUACCGGAAUAGAAAGCCACGGCUAACUACGUGCCAGCAGCCGCGGUAAUACGUAGGUGGCAAGCGUUGUCCGGAAUUAUUGGGCGUAAAGCGCGCGCAGGCGGAUUGGUCAGUCUGUCUUAAAAGUUCGGGGCUUAACCCCGUGAUGGGAUGGAAACUGCCAAUCUAGAGUAUCGGAGAGGAAAGUGGAAUUCCUAGUGUAGCGGUGAAAUGCGUAGAUAUUAGGAAGAACACCAGUGGCGAAGGCGACUUUCUGGACGAAAACUGACGCUGAGGCGCGAAAGCCAGGGGAGCGAACGGGAUUAGAUACCCCGGUAGUCCUGGCCGUAAACGAUGGGUACUAGGUGUAGGAGGUAUCGACCCCUUCUGUGCCGGAGUUAACGCAAUAAGUACCCCGCCUGGGGAGUACGACCGCAAGGUUG
RNAcentral lists this ribosomal RNA (550 nucleotides) under uncultured bacterium. RNAcentral's name for it is "bacterial SSU rRNA". It matches the Rfam family "Bacterial small subunit ribosomal RNA", at positions 355 to 896 of the family's 1533-position model. The record is from RNAcentral.